CUGACGGCACCGCGUGGGCUGAUAUCGGAAUGAAAGCCCUGGCCCUCUACCGCGGAAAGGCCAAGGAGAGGGCCCGCGUGACCGUCAG
Geoglobus ahangari is the source of this 88-nucleotide regulatory RNA element. It matches the Rfam family "L4-Archaeoglobi ribosomal protein leades". The record is from Rfam. NCBI's taxonomy places the organism in Archaea, Methanobacteriati, Methanobacteriota, Archaeoglobi, Archaeoglobales, Archaeoglobaceae.